AUUCAGCUGACGAGUCUCAAACAGGACGAAACGCGCAUCCUGGGU
This 45-nucleotide non-coding RNA is filed under the name Schistosoma mattheei. The record is from RNAcentral. Lineage: Eukaryota; Metazoa; Platyhelminthes; Trematoda; Strigeidida; Schistosomatidae.